GACGAACGCUGGCGGCGUGCUUAACACAUGCAAGUCGAACGGAAAGGCCCUGCUUUUGUGGGGUGCUCGAGUGGCGAACGGGUGAGUGACACGUGAGUAACCUGCCCUUGACUUUGGGAUAACUUCAGGAAACUGGGGCUAAUACCGGAUAGGAGCUCCUGUUGCAUGGUGGGGGUUGGAAAGUUUCGGCGGUUGGGGAUGGACUCGCGGCUUAUCAGCUAGUUGGUUGGGUAGUGGCUUACCAAGGCUGUGAAGGGUAGGCGGCCAUAGAGGGUGACCGGGUACAAUGAUACUACGAUACGGACCAGACGGCAAGGGGCGGCAGCAGUGGCAAAUAUGACACAAUGGGACGAAGCCUGAGGCGACGACGCCCCGUGCGGGAUGACUUAGUUCGGGGUAAAAACCGCUGUCGCCUAUGACGAAGCGUGGGUGACGGUAAAGGGUAAAGAAGCACCGGCUAACUACGUG
This 468-nucleotide ribosomal RNA is filed under the name uncultured bacterium. Its description in RNAcentral is "partial 16S ribosomal RNA". It matches the Rfam family "Bacterial small subunit ribosomal RNA", at positions 28 to 507 of the family's 1533-position model. The record is from RNAcentral.